GAUGAACGCUGGCGGCGUGCCUAAUACAUGCAAGUCGAGCGAACAGACGAGGAGCUUGCUCCUCUGACGUUAGCGGCGGACGGGUGAGUAACACGUGGAUAACCUACCUAUAAGACUGGGAUAACUUCGGGAAACCGGAGCUAAUACCGGAUAAUAUAUUGAACCGCAUGGUUCAAUAGUGAAAGACGGUUUUGCUGUCACUUAUAGAUGGAUCCGCGCCGCAUUAGCUAGUUGGUAAGGUAACGGCUUACCAAGGCGACGAUGCGUAGCCGACCUGAGAGGGUGAUCGGCCACACUGGAACUGAGACACGGUCCACACUCCUACGGGAGGCAGCAGUAGGGAAUCUUCCGCAAUGGGCGAAAGCCUGACGGAGCAACGCCGCGUGAGUGAUGAAGGUCUUCGGAUCGUAAAACUCUGUUAUUAGGGAAGAACAAAUGUGUAAGUAACUAUGCACGUCUUGACGGUACCUAAUCAGAAAGCCACGGCUAACUACGUG
Molecule: ribosomal RNA, 497 nt
Filed under: uncultured bacterium
Lineage: Bacteria
Description: partial 16S ribosomal RNA
Rfam family: Bacterial small subunit ribosomal RNA
Source: RNAcentral